UACGUAGGUGGCAAGCGUUGUCCGGAUUUACUGGGCGUAAAGCGCGCGUAGGCGGACCUGCAAGUCGGGGGUGAAAGCCCGAGGCUCAACCUCGGAACUGCCUUCGAUACUGCGGGUCUCGAGUCCGGGAGAGGUGAGUGGAAUUCCUAGUGUAGAGGUGAAAUUCGUAGAUAUUAGGAAGAACACCAGUGGCGAAGGCGGCUCACUGGCCCGGUACUGACGCUGAGGUGCGAAAGCGUGGGGAGCAAACAGG
RNAcentral lists this ribosomal RNA (253 nucleotides) under uncultured bacterium. Its description in RNAcentral is "partial 16S ribosomal RNA". It matches the Rfam family "Bacterial small subunit ribosomal RNA", at positions 524 to 776 of the family's 1533-position model. The record is from RNAcentral.